This 492-nucleotide ribosomal RNA is filed under the name uncultured bacterium. RNAcentral describes it as "partial 16S ribosomal RNA". It matches the Rfam family "Bacterial small subunit ribosomal RNA", at positions 29 to 507 of the family's 1533-position model. The record is from RNAcentral.
AGUGAACGCUGGCGGUAGGCCUAAUACAUGCAAGUCGAACGGCAGCACAGUAAGAGCUUGCUCUUACGGGUGGCGAGUGGCGGACGGGUGAGGAAUACAUCGGAAUCUACUUUUUCGUGGGGGAUAACGUAGGGAAACUUACGCUAAUACCGCAUACGACCUACGGGUGAAAGCAGUGGAUCUUCGGACCUUGCGCGAUUGAAUGAGCCGAUGUCGGAUUAGCUAGUUGGCGGGGUAAAGGCCCACCAAGGCGACGAUCCGUAGCUGGUCUGAGAGGAUGAUCAGCCACACUGGAACUGAGACACGGUCCAGACUCCUACGGGAGGCAGCAGUGGGGAAUAUUGGACAAUGGGCGAAAGCCUGAUCCAGCCAUACCGCGUGGGUGAAGAAGGCCUUCGGGUUGUAAAGCCCUUUUGUUGGGAAAGAAAAGCAGCAGGUUAAUACCCCGCUGUUCUGACGGUACCCAAAGAAUAAGCACCGGCUAACUUCGUG